This 253-nucleotide ribosomal RNA is filed under the name uncultured bacterium. RNAcentral's name for it is "partial 16S ribosomal RNA". It matches the Rfam family "Bacterial small subunit ribosomal RNA", at positions 524 to 776 of the family's 1533-position model. The record is from RNAcentral.
UACGGGGGGUGCGAGCGUUAAUCGGAAUCACUGGGCGUAAAGGGCACGCAGGCGGACAUUUAAGUGAGGUGUGAAAUCCCCGGGCUUAACCUGGGAAUUGCAUGUCAUACUGGGAGUCUAGAGUCUUGUAGGGAGGGGUAGAAUUCCACGUGUAGCGGUGAAAUGCGUAGAGAUGUGGAGGAAUACCGAAGGCGAAGGCAGCCCCUUGGGAAUGUACUGACGCUCAGGUGCGAAAGCGUGGGGAGCAAAAAGG